GCGUCGAUGGUGUAAUGGUUCAUCACGCGCCCUGGAUAGGGUGAAAUAUGGGUUCGAAUCCCAACUGAGACA
Parelaphostrongylus tenuis is the source of this 72-nucleotide non-coding RNA. The record is from the annotation of a GenBank genome assembly. Lineage: Eukaryota; Metazoa; Nematoda; Chromadorea; Rhabditida; Metastrongylidae.